CCUACGGGGGGCACCAGUAGGGAAUCUUCGGCAAUGGACGAAAGUCUGACCGAGUAACGCCGCGUGAGUGAAGAAGGUUUUCGGGUCGUAAAACUCUGUUGUUAGAGAAGAACAAGUAGGAGAGUAACUGCUCUUACCUUGACGGUAUCUAACCAGAAAGCCACGGCUAACUACGUGCCAGCAGCCGCGGUAAUACGUAGGUGGCAAGCGUUGUCCGGAUUUAUUGGGCGUAAAGCGAGCGCAGGCGGUCUUUUAAGUCUGAUGUGAAAGCCCUCGGCUCAACCGAGGAAGGUCAUUGGAAACUGGAGGACUUGAGCGCAGAAGAGGAGAGUGGAAUUCCAUGUGUAGCGGUGAAAUGCGUAGAUAUAUGGAGGAACACCAGUGGCGAAGGCGACUCCCUGGUCUGUGACUGACGCUGAGGCUCGAAAGCGUGGGGAGCAAACAGGAUUAGAUACCCUCGUAGUC
This 465-nucleotide ribosomal RNA is filed under the name uncultured bacterium. RNAcentral describes it as "bacterial SSU rRNA". It matches the Rfam family "Bacterial small subunit ribosomal RNA", at positions 338 to 795 of the family's 1533-position model. The record is from RNAcentral.